Molecule: long non-coding RNA, 1927 nt
Filed under: Anolis carolinensis (green anole)
Lineage: Eukaryota; Metazoa; Chordata; Lepidosauria; Squamata; Anolidae
Description: lncRNA (ENSACAG00000040833.1)
Source: RNAcentral
AUGUGGCAGAUUCAUCAGAGAAUGCAAGCUGUUUAUGGGGAUUGUGUUGAUGUAAGUCCUGUGCAUCAUUGGGCAAGUAAGUUUAAAGAUGUUGAGGUGGGAACAUCUUAUUUGCAUGACAAACAAAGAGUUGGAUGUCCUGUGACAGCAACCACCGAGUUUCACAAGCAAAAGGUUGACAGAUUGAUUCAGGAUGAUCAUUGCAUCACUCAGAGAGAAAUUUCAAGUAUAAUUGUCAUUUCACAAGAACGUGUGGGUCACAUUAUUGCUUUGCUUGGCUGUUGGAAGAUCACGUUUUUAUUACGAUUUUAUCAUUUAUGUGUUUUAAAUGCAAUUUUUUAUCCUGUAUUUUUGUUUAAUUGAUAUAUUGUAUUACUGUUUUAUCUUUUUAUAGUGUGAUUUGUAUUAUGUUGCCUAUGUUUUGUUCUAUGUUGUUUGGGCCUCUGCCCCAUGUAAGCCACCCUGAGUCCCCACGGGGAGAUGGUGGUGGGGUAUAAAUAAAGUUUUAUUAUUUAUUUAUUAUUUAUCUGUGCACUGUGAGACGUCGGUUGCGGAAACAGUGUCGACUUCUUUUGUGACGGCUUCAGAAAACGUGUUCAUCAUUGGCAGAAAUGUAUCCAAUGGUGUGGUGAUGAUGUGGAAAAGUGGAUAGUGGUACUUAAAGAGCACAUUCUAAGGAUUAUUUCUGCGUUUGAUUUAUUAAAAUAUUCCCAUCCAAACCCAAGUAACGAAGGUGGAGGCAUUACUUUUCAUUCAACCCUCGUAUAUCUCAUUCUCUCUUUUCUGUAUGUGUGCUGAACAUUCCGGAUCCGAUCCUUUGACUUUCCUAGCCACAGUUGGCCAUAUUGCUAGACAGAAAAAGACAGGCAGCUUCAGGCAGCAGAUUUGAGGUAGGAAAUUACUAGAUAAUGUUACCCUUGAAAAAAAAAUAGUUCAGAGAAAGGAGAUUGUGAGUAGAGUUGCCGGAUCCCAAGACUGUCUCUGAGCCACUUUCAUGGGCGAAGUGGAAGAUAGGGGUGAAAAUUCUCUAGUUUCGGGGAAGGGCUUGUGUGCAAAUUUCCAGCUCAGCUAGGACAGCAAACACUUGUUGCAAGUUGCAAAGCUUUACUCAUUUGUUGAUGUUGCACUCCAGCCUUGAGAUACCUUUUCACCCAGCACCACACGAGAAUCUAGUAGUACUAACUUUCCCAAAAGAGCAGUCGAAAAGGAACGAUAAAAGAGCAGUAGUCCAUAUACAAAAGAGUAGUAGUCCAAAAUGGCAAGGAACAUGAAGUCAAGGGAGUCAAGACACAGGCAUAAAUCCAUAAGCAUGAAAGCUGGAACUUUAUCCAAAGCAAAACUCAUUCAGGAACAUAUGCAAACACAGGAAACUUGAGAACUGAGACAGGAACCUGAACCUUUUGGCAACGUUGUCUCCUCUUAGAGACACCAAGUAAACAUCACUUAAUUUAAGCCCAGGCCUGACCAAGAAGCCAUGAGAUCAUAUCUUACACACCUGGGUUUCAAGGAUUUCUCACAGUCUCUCUGAACACCUAAUUAAUCUAUUCUUCACUCCCUCCAUCAGCUGAAGGCCAAUUCCCAAGAUAAAUGGACCUUUCACCGGUUUUCCUCUCUCCUGUUGCUAAGGAACGAACAUUGGAAUCCAAAACCUCCUUGCUCUUACCUUCAACUGCCUGCACUUCUCUCUGAUCCAAGGCCUGCAAUUCAUUCUUUCAAUAUUUCAUUUUUGACUGGAUCUACACCACUAAAGAAGGGUGUUUGAACUGCACUGUAGAUGGUCAGUGUAGAGCAGGGGUCUCCAAACUAAGGCCCGGGGACCGGAUGUGGCCCUCCAAGGCCAUUAACCUGGCCCCCGCCCUCAGUUUUAGACUUAGGCUUGCCCAAAGUCUGAAAUGACUUGAAGGCACAACAACAACAAUCCUACUCG